AUGUUUCAAAGACCUGUAUUACAGGUACUUCAUCAGUUUGUAAGGCAUGAGUCCAAAACAGCUAGCAGUUUGGUUCUUGAAAGAUCCCUGAAUUGUAUGCAGUUACUUGGACAAGUGGGUUAGGACCUUAUCAUGAGACAGAUGGAAGGAAAUACUCCAGCACAAUAUUUUCUCUAGCAACAAAUGAGAUGUGGUGAUCAGGGGACAGGAAAGUGUACCAAAUGGGUGAUGUCUGUCAAGAUGACAUGGCACAGAAUAUCAGCAUUCUAGCCAGGCCCUGGAGAUGUGGCACAUCAGUCUCGAAUUUAUGCAGAAGAAAAAGUAGACUAUGGUGAAUACACGGAUAAAAAUAAUGGGAGGCGACAAGCAACAACAAUCAUAAUAGCUGAUAGUAGGAUAUUUCUGAGUGACCAGACAAAGGAGAAG
RNAcentral lists this long non-coding RNA (426 nucleotides) under Homo sapiens (human). Its description in RNAcentral is "non-protein coding lnc-RPL11-7:1". Lineage: Eukaryota; Metazoa; Chordata; Mammalia; Primates; Hominidae. The record is from RNAcentral.